CCGGGCAUCUUCUUCAAUAAAGGUUAUAGGUCCUUCAGUUCUUUGCCGCUUGAGCAGUCCGGCCGAUCCACUGGCCGCUCCCCUCCGAGACCAUUCAAAGAUGGUGUUGAUGAUUUCGACUGGAGGCCGAUCCCCAAGCUGUUCUUCCCUCCUUCGCAGCUCCGAUUGCGGUGGGGCCUUUGGCCGAUCUUUCCUACUUUUAGGUUGGCAUCGAAUGAAUCCAUCGACUGCCGUUGUCGGAG
RNAcentral lists this long non-coding RNA (242 nucleotides) under Elaeis guineensis (African oil palm). RNAcentral's name for it is "long non-coding RNA (EGUI_LNC082173)". Lineage: Eukaryota; Viridiplantae; Streptophyta; Magnoliopsida; Arecales; Arecaceae. The record is from RNAcentral.